Molecule: ribosomal RNA, 479 nt
Filed under: uncultured Cellulomonas sp.
Lineage: Bacteria; Bacillati; Actinomycetota; Actinomycetes; Micrococcales; Cellulomonadaceae
Description: bacterial SSU rRNA
Rfam family: Bacterial small subunit ribosomal RNA
Source: RNAcentral
UGCAACGCGAAGAACCUUACCAAGGCUUGACAUACACCGGAAAAGUGCAGAGAUGUGCUCCCCGUAAGGUCGGUGUACAGGUGGUGCAUGGUUGUCGUCAGCUCGUGUCGUGAGAUGUUGGGUUAAGUCCCGCAACGAGCGCAACCCUCGUCCCAUGUUGCCAGCGGGUUAUGCCGGGGACUCAUGGGAGACUGCCGGGGUCAACUCGGAGGAAGGUGGGGAUGACGUCAAAUCAUCAUGCCCCUUAUGUCUUGGGCGUCACGCAUGCUACAAUGGCCGGUACAAAGGGCUGCGAUACCGCAAGGUGGAGCGAAUCCCAAAAAGCCGGUCUCAGUUCGGAUCGGGGUCUGCAACUCGACCCCGUGAAGUCGGAGUCGCUAGUAAUCGCAGAUCAGCAACGCUGCGGUGAAUACGUUCCCGGGCCUUGUACACACCGCCCGUCAAGUCAUGAAAGUCGGUAACACCCGAAGCCGGUGGCC